GACGAACGCUGGCGGCGUGCUUAACACAUGCAAGUCGAACGGAAAGGCCCUGCUUUUGUGGGGUGCUCGAGUGGCGAACGGGUGCGUAACACGUGAGUAACCUGCCCUUGACUUUGGGAUAACUUCAGGAAACUGGGGCUAAUACCGGACAGGAGCUCCCGCUGCAUGGUGGGGGUUGGAAAGUUGCGGCGGUUGGGGAUGGACUGGCGGCUUACCAGCUUGUUGGUGGGGUAGUGGCUUACCAAGGCAUUGACGGGUAGCCGGCCUGAGAGGGUGACCGGCCACAUUGGGACUGAGAUACGGCCCAGACGGCUACGUUAGGCAGUAGUGGGGAAUCUGGCACAAUGGGCGGAAGUCUGAUGCAGCGACGCCGCGGGCGGGAUGACGGCCUUCUGGUUGUGAACCGCUGUCGCCUGAGACGAAGCGUGAGUGACGGUAAUGGGUAAAGAAGCACCGGCUAACUACGUG
This 468-nucleotide ribosomal RNA is filed under the name uncultured bacterium. RNAcentral's name for it is "partial 16S ribosomal RNA". It matches the Rfam family "Bacterial small subunit ribosomal RNA", at positions 28 to 507 of the family's 1533-position model. The record is from RNAcentral.